This is a non-coding RNA of Eptesicus fuscus (big brown bat), 83 nucleotides long. Lineage: Eukaryota; Metazoa; Chordata; Mammalia; Chiroptera; Vespertilionidae. The record is from RefSeq and is marked provisional.
AGGCUGGAAGUCCAAGAUCAAGGCGCUGGCAGGUUUGGUUUCUCCUGCGGCUUUUCUACCUGGCUUGUAGACAGCCAGCUUCC